Long non-coding RNA from Etheostoma cragini (Arkansas darter), 125 nucleotides. RefSeq lists it as uncharacterized. The transcript has 3 exons. The record is from RefSeq and is a predicted model, not a curated record. NCBI's taxonomy places the organism in Eukaryota, Metazoa, Chordata, Actinopteri, Perciformes, Percidae.
UGCAACAAAUAUAAAAACGUAUGCUAGUUUGUGUUUUUUAGCUCAUAGCUUUAGCGGCAGACGGUUGUACGUCCCGCUGUUGGAAUCCUCUACAAUGAAAUACAGUCACACUUUUACACAGCUUC